Octopus bimaculoides (California two-spot octopus) is the source of this 104-nucleotide non-coding RNA. The record is from Rfam. Lineage: Eukaryota; Metazoa; Mollusca; Cephalopoda; Octopoda; Octopodidae.
GUACUAGCUUUCGCAGUACAUAUUCUAAGAUUAGAAUGAUACAGAAAUUAGCAUGGCCCCUGCGCAAGGAUGACAUGCAAAUUCAUGAAGCACUCCAUACUUUU